AACACCCUCCCCAGAACCCUUCUCCAACUCUUCCACCUGAGCUAUAUCAGCACCUUCUUCCACCUCCAACGCAUGGACCUCUUCUUCCCUCUCAACAUAGAUGACACCAUUCAGCACAGGUGUCCCCGAUGCCCCCUCCCAGGUUCCCUCCUCCAUCACUUCUGUGGCAGUCCCUACAGAUUGCAGGUUCUCUGUACAUACAGAUUGCAGCAGGCAUGCCCUUCAAGGGUGAGUUGGCCAACUGCUCGGCCCCUGCCUUUUCUUAUCCCUGGCUGGAGCUCACGUCCACAGAGGAAGAAAACGAUCUGCACCUACGAACAAGACGAGACGAGAACCAUUUGUGGACGCUGAAGAUCAGAAGAUGAUGACUAAAAGCACAUGGUGUGAGGAUUGAGGAAGUGCUUAAGGCAAGUAUAACUUGGGAUUAUCCUUGUUACGUAUACACUUUUAAUACAUAUAUCAUAUGCAUGUGUCCACCUUGAUAACCUUAUCGAAAUCAUAGAUGAUUGUUAUCUUGAAUUCCUUGAUACCUAUUAGAUAUGCAUUUGGGUAGUUCUUGCUAGUGCUUGACUUAAUCCAUGAUCUUGUAAGAUGAUUAAUGACUAUGCAAUUAACGUUAAAAGACGGCUACUAUAUGAGAUCUUGUUUGUACGUGAUCACCCUGGAUUAACAGUACAACCAUGAGGGCUAUAUUGCUUUGGCUUUAGCUCAGUAUGAAGAUCUUUUCUAGCUUGUUAGUAGUUACCCAUAAGGGCACUAGAGGGGCUUGCCGACUCGGGUAUAGUGCGGCCUCUGUCCUUAUGUGUAUAGGCUGCGUGUCAUUGUGCCAUUCAGAAGGGGGGCUCUACAUCUGCUCGCCAAUUGGAGACCUUGUGGCCCUAACUUGUUAGACGAACUUUUGAAAGGCUUCAUAGUGAACCCUACUGACCUUCCUUGGUAGUCAGCCGGUCCCUGGGUAUGGUGGUGCCUACUGAACCCGCGAUUUGGUCCUAAAUAGUGCAUCUGGUGACCUAUAGCUCACUUUGGCUGGUAAGUGUGGUUUGUGUGGGGAAUAAAUCACCAGCUGGUUAGAAAUCGAUUCGAAUCGCCAUCGCUUCUGGAUAGUGAGCACUUGACUUGAGCUUCGUCAUCGUAGUAAUGUUAUGGAACACUAGAUGGUUAUGGUAUGUUGAUGAAGCUGGAAAUGCUACAUUAAAUUGGUACUACAUCUGUAUUGGAUAAAGUGAUUGUUAUAGCACAGGUGCGAAACUAGAUGAUAGGUUAAUGAUUACUAACUUGAUCUAAAUAAAAGAAAGGUUACUCACUUUGUAGCUUAAGCUCUUUUAUGCAAAAAGUGUUGUCAAGCUAGCCCACUAUAAAGCCUUACAUGAUCCUUGGAGUCAACUAUUUCUGGUUUAUGACGGGUAAGUCUAGCUGAGUACAUUCUCGUACUCAGGGUUAUGUUCCCAUGUUGUUUAAUUUGCAGAUGGACAUAUGUAUUAUGGGUACUGCAUUAAUUGUCUCUAUACAGCUAUGGGAGAUGCAUAGACCAAGGGCGUGGUCACUCUGACUUAUCUUUUACUGUUGUGGGAUUGAUCAGACUCUGGCACUGUAAUCAAACUAAGCAUGUGUGUUUCAGAAACUAUUUGCUUCCGCUACUACUUAAAAAAUAUGGUUUGUAAUAACUUUAUUUGAACUCCAAUGUAAAUGACUUAUUUGUGAA
Molecule: long non-coding RNA, 1702 nt
Organism: Sorghum bicolor (sorghum)
Lineage: Eukaryota; Viridiplantae; Streptophyta; Magnoliopsida; Poales; Poaceae
Exons: 3
Source: RefSeq, a predicted model, not a curated record